GUGAAAUUUGCUUUUGCAGCUGUUCUUUACAAAAUGGCUCCCAUUGAAUAAUGAGUGUCCUGCUUUUUAUUUAAAAAUUUUCAACCCAUAUUAGUUUCCAAAUAACAACAUCAAGUUUGUUGGCUUUGCUGAACUUGGCUGCAGGGUUGACCAGUACUUACUGGCACGUGAGCAGGCGCCCGUCCUCCUUCUGUUGACUGCUUCUUCAGUUACAGGACUUCAUUUAAGAUGCUGAAAUAAACUCUAAUUGAAUGCACCAUCUGGAAACAUUGAACUACAUGGAGAAAGCAGUGGGAUCAAUUCACAUCAUCCUCCACACCCCCACUGGGUCUUUGACCAGCAGAGAGAAUGCAGAGCUAGUGCGGGACAAGUUGGUGGAAUAUAACAGUAAUGCCAAGAUUCUGGGGUUGGAGGGUCUCUUUGAACACAGGAUUCAUCACAUGCAAGUUGUGCAACCUUGGACAUGGAACUUAACCUACUCAUGCCUCAGUUUCCCCAGCUAUACAGUGGGGGUAAGAAAAGGGGCUGUAGGGGUGCCUGGGUGGCUCAGUCAUUAAGCGUCUGCCUUCGGCUCAGGGCGUGAUCCCGGCGUUAUGGGUUCGAGCCCCGCAUCAGACUCCUCCGCUGGGAGCCUGCUGCUUCCUCUCCCACUCCCCUGCUUGUGUUCCCUCUCUCGCUGGCUGUCUCUAUGUCAAAUAAAUAAAUAAAAAUCUUUAAAAAAAAAAAAAGAAAAGGAGCUGAGUGCUGGAGUUGUUUUGAAGAUUAAAUGAAUUCUCAUUUGUGAAGGUCUUGAAAGA
RNAcentral lists this long non-coding RNA (797 nucleotides) under Ursus thibetanus thibetanus. RNAcentral describes it as "lncRNA (ENSUTTG00000000561.1)". Lineage: Eukaryota; Metazoa; Chordata; Mammalia; Carnivora; Ursidae. The record is from RNAcentral.